AUUAUUUCACUGAUUGGACCACAGUUUAAAACAACCCAAAUUGUAUCUACCAGCGAUAACAUUAGAACUAACAUAGUAUGGGAUGUAUUAGUUGUGAUUUUGUAGGUCUUAGUGGAUAGAUUAUUACAGCUAGUCCAAUUAAUAUUACUAUCUGUCAGGAUACUGUCUUGUACACGUAUAACUCAUACAAAAUGACACGUAACGUAAUGAACAUGAUUCAAGUUUUGUUUCUUGUAUCAACAGGUUGGUUUUAUUUAACAACAGCAAGGGCAACAAGACACCAGAUCUACCCACGUCCUACUUUCAAUGAAACUGAACAGAAUGUAACUGUGAGGGUUGGUGAUGAUGCCAGGUUGCCAUGUUCUGUUCAAAAUCUUGGUACCAAAGUG
This is a long non-coding RNA of Patella vulgata (common limpet), 389 nucleotides long. RefSeq lists it as uncharacterized. The transcript has 3 exons. The record is from RefSeq and is a predicted model, not a curated record. Lineage: Eukaryota; Metazoa; Mollusca; Gastropoda; Patellidae.